This is a non-coding RNA of Cinara cedri, 220 nucleotides long. The record is from the annotation of a GenBank genome assembly. Lineage: Eukaryota; Metazoa; Arthropoda; Insecta; Hemiptera; Aphididae.
CUCGGAAAUUGGAAAAAUGACCUCUCUAAAGUACCUUCUCAGUCAGAUUUCCUUUUAGAAGUUUGGGUUGGAGCAGAGUGGUGGUGCAUUAUUCACACGCCGAUCGUCGUACUGCUACAGAAAUGAUACUCCACUUCUCUUUUCUAAACCAAACUUAAAAGUGUAAUAUCUCGUCAACGGAUUGACGGAAAUCAAAAACUUAAACAUCAAAAUGUAUUUG